Molecule: long non-coding RNA, 7500 nt
Organism: Gasterosteus aculeatus aculeatus (three-spined stickleback)
Lineage: Eukaryota; Metazoa; Chordata; Actinopteri; Perciformes; Gasterosteidae
Source: Ensembl
AAUUAUUAGGUAUUGUACACAUGAUUGCGCUUCAUAGUGGUGCUAUUAAAAAAGCGCCAUGAAAUGAUUACUGUCACAAUUUAUUCACAAAUUAUUCUAUCUUGUGUUAAUGCCAAUCCAAAGACAAUCCAAUGAAUGCUGCUGUGAAACAAAAGAUUCAGAACACAUCACUGACUUCCAUCCCUAGACUUUACCUAGAUGAGAACUGGGUAGUACUCAUAAUAUAACAAAUAUGAAUAUUAAAGACAACAAUGUUUGGAAAUGCAAGUUAACUCGUAUGUUCUCUCAACAUGUUCUUCAAAACCCAUAAAACAGGCUCACACACAUGAUUACCAUGUUUAAACAUUUUGUGAUAGGAUUGGACAUUUUGGUUAGCUUCAAAUAUUUUGCAAAUGGUUCACUAAUGCAGAAAGCAUGUUAACCCCACCAGCACAGCUAAAAUAUUUUUAGUUAGGUAACUGUGUCUUUUAAAGUGCAGAGAACAAAUGACAAGUAAAGUACAGUGUUAUACCAACUACUGUUCAAUUAAGAUGAGAGAAAAACUCACCUAACUAAAACCUAAAACUACCUGCCAGUUUUGAUGUCUGACUGAAUUUUAGGCAGGUAAACUGACCUUGAGAUCAUGGACCUUUGACGACAUUUUUUGGUUUGCAUCCUCCAGCUCCAAAAGGAUCUUCUGGAAUACCUCAAAGGUAUAUUUCAGUUGUUUGGGGUAAGACCCAUCAGGUAAGCACAAGCAGUUGCAACAUCAGAAAUACCAAACAGAACCUCUGCUCCCUCGAUGGCUAUUCCUGUUGACUUGGCAAGACUUUCAUCCGUGGCUUUGGAAACCACAAAGAUGUUGAGGACAAAUGUAGAAAUGUCCUCUUGGACAGCUGCAGCAUAAUCCUCGUCAAAAAUCUGGGAAAUAUAUAAAUGACGGAAUAAGACAGGGUAUCGGAAGUAUGAGGAAAUUGAAGCAAACAAUUUUUAAGACCUACACAACAGCACAUAAAGUUAGGUUAAAUAAAUACAUUUUAAAUAUGUGCUAAAUUUGCAUAUCUUCAAGUGUAACAUAGUAGUACUGAGAACUCUGUGCUUCAUUAAUUCCAUCUGUAAUAUUGGACUGGUCUACAUACUUAUGUAUAAUUUCUGCCCGGAAGUCAAUUGAAGAAUGUGCUGCAUGUUGUCUGGAUCUGUAUGAUGUGUCACACCUGUAUGUCAAGUUGGGUUUUUGUCCUGUCUCCAUGUUUGUUUAGUGACUUCCUGUUUUAUUUUGGAAAUUAACUCUCCUCUCGUUUCAGGUUCCUUGCCCUUCCUCAUGUGUCACCUUUCUGAUUGUCUUCCCUGAUUCCUGAUUGUGUUCACCUGUUCCCACACUUCCCUCAUGUGUACUUAUAGCCUGCGUCUCCCCUUGUCCUGUGGCAGUGUGUCGUGUCCUUUCGCCUCGCACACCCGCCUCAGGAAAGAAUCAAGCCCGGGUCACAGUUUUGUUUGUACCUAGCCACCUUGUGGUGUCCUUAGUUGUGCAGUUUAUGGCUCCACAGCUCCUUGAUUUAGUUUAGAGACAUUUUGAUUGUUUUGUUAUUUCCUCUGUAAGAGAGAUUUUGAUUUUCUUUUGGUAACUAUUCAGCUCUCUGUUUUGCCAGAGCAUUUCCCCGUUCAUCUCUCUUCGGAGAGGUUUUUUCUUCCCAGGGACUCAGUGUUUUUUGUUGGAUAAUAAAAGCGUCAGUUGAACCUCAACUCUGCGUCCGAGUCCUCCUCGAGCUCCCCCUGUGACAUAAUGCAAACGUUCCAUAAACGUUUGUGUUAAAAUCACACACUCUAAAAACACAGUGCAGAGUUUCUCAGAUGAACUCAAAAGAUGUUUGAAGUAAUCAUCCUCAGUCUAAAAACCAGAACUGCAAAGUUCACAACUGGAAAAAAAAAUAUAUCUUUGGUGUUGAUUUGUUACAUGGAUGUUUCCUUGACAAAUGUGACUUGAGGGCAUUCCAGGUUUUGAAUGAGCACGGGCAAUCAGAAUUUACACAGGGAAGAAAUUUGCAGUGGUUGUGCCUUGGCCUAUAGUGCUUUAAAAGUUUCCUAUCUUGCAAAUCCAUCCCAUGAAGUUUGAAACCCAGGUGCUAGAUCCAAGUACGUCCUGACAGUGAAGGAAAAGCAAAGUGGUCAAUCUCUCUGGGUGAAGUUCGGGUGGGACUCAGCAGGAGAUUAGUCAUUAACACGUGAUUAUGGUCAGCAGCUAGGAUUCCAUCAAGAACCCUUCAUCUCUCCAUUGCGUGCCCAUCAAUCUGUCCUCAAAAGUACAAUGACAGGACAAGGCAGGACGUUACCCUGGGACACAAGAGGCAGAAAACUACAAAAUAAGAAAGGAAACCCAAACCGUGACAGAAACAUUACAUUACAUAUCAUUUAGCGGACGCUUUUAUCCAAAAACUCCAUUGGGAAACCUUGCGAAAGCCCUUCUUUUUUCACAAGAUUCUACUAAUGUUACCUCUAACGGUAUUUUAAGGCCAUUGCUAAAAUGAUCUCGAGGAAGCACUGGUUUAUUUUUAAUUCCACUUCUACGAAGAUAAGACAUCUACAAAGACUAGAGUAUCCAACUAACUAACGGACUGAACUUUAAGGUUAGAAUACAGCUAACUGAAGCAAAUUAAAGUGAAUUUUCUUCCGUAUUCUUACCUUUUUAAAGUUCAGCCCGAUUAAUGUUUAAUCGAUUUUAAUGUCGAGGGUGACGUUCUGUUGACUUCUGACUGCAGAUGUGAAAUGGCGGAAUUGGCGGUGAAAUGAAUUAUCGCUUUUAUGAGUGUAUGCUAAAAUUAAGAACAAAAGGAUCUAGAAAAUAUACACUAGGCUGAAAAACAAAGGCGAAAAAGUCUGAAAUGUCCUCCGCAAAUGUCCAUCAGCUCGUGUCAAGACUGCAGUAAUUCUAAUACGGAACAGCUGUGCAGACAGAGACAAAACUAAUGAAACGGAAUCAGUGAUUAUGGAAAAGUAAAAAUAUAUAUGAACAAGCUGUUUUUUUAUAAAAUGGAUUAGACUUUUGUCAACAUUUUAAAGUUUAAAUGGUGUCUGUAGCUGAAAAAUUGGCGAAGCAGAAAAAUGUGAAAGUUGAAGUUCAAGGGGAUUUGAAAAUAAACUCCAUUGGGAAACCAUGUUAAAAUUGGUUAUGAAUUUGAUUUGACAAGAAGAUGUUGACAUAAAGAGUCGAAGAAGAACUACUUUCUGAGGCAGCAUUCCAACAAUAAGCCUGAGAGAUAAGGAGUUUUGCUCAGCUUUGCUGGCCACACUCAAUAACUUUAUUAAGCUUCAAAAAACAUACACUCAAACAAAGAUACCAGUGACAAAAGGAAACCUUUUCUCUCAAAAGGACCUCAGUGUGUUGGAAUGCUAAAAGAUGAAAUUAAUUUGAAAAGAAUUGCUAAAAAUGCAGUAAUGAGAAAUGCAUUUUAGCUUUGAAAAUGGCUGAGGCAGCAUUCCAACAAUAAGCCCAAGAAAGAACAAGGAGUUUGGCUCUGCUUUGCAGGCCAUACUCAAUAAAAGUGAUCCAACAUUGUUUUUUUUAUUACAAAUACAAUACGGUUCAUUUCAGUUGUUGAAAGUACAUGUCAUCAUUAACAUACAUUCAAAAGUUCAUAGUUAGUUUUAAUAUAAAAUCCAGUUUAGCAAAAAUACAGAAGUUGAAAAAGCCUUUCUUUCCGGUCCAACUAAUAAGUGAGUACAGAUAAUAACGAAGUGGGGAAAAAAACUCUACACUUUUAGACAACAUGUAUAUUGAGAACAACAAUACUUGUAUUUAGCAGCAGUCAGACGUUGAUGUCAGAACACCAGAAUUUUCUUGUGUGAACAUUUUAAAGAUGAAUAACUGUGUACAUGGUGUGGAGGAUGUUUCAUUUGUUGCUGAUCAGAAAUCUGUACUCUGUUCCUCCUACGUGGUUCAAGUAAGUCCAUCAAAUGUCCCAUUAGCCAGUUUAGAUUAACCCGAUGAUUGAAGUCUGGCUAUUUUGGUUCCUCAAAGGCUGAUACGCGCUUAAAGAAUGUUGUUAAUUUGAACCAGACUUGUGAUCAGGAUAAUUGUGCGUUCCCGUCUUACUUCAAAAGGGGAGGAGUUAACAGCAAAAAAACUGAAAGAAAGCCUAUUUUUUUUUUCUCUGCUGACGAGCAGGAGAUGAUCAUGAAGUGAUCUUUGUGAUCUCUCCCUAUAAAACACAAAUCCAGCUGAUUAUCGCCCCUUCAUCAAUUGGAUCUAUGAGGAUGAGAGCUGCCUUCUUUUUCCGGGAGAAUGAAAAACGUAGUUUUCCACCUGUCUUCAAUCAGAUCACCUCAGACUUGCAUAAUAAAAAACUCACUAAGUCUAUACUUGGUAUCGAUUAUCAUUUCUUCUACUGAUCAUACAUCUGCAAUACAGACCGAAACAAACCAGUAGAGCGGUCCGUGCGAGUUCCCGAGGAUCUCCUCUUAGACUCGUAUCACUCGUUGUCUCAGGUUCGGGCCGAUCCUUCACUGCUGCAAAGAGACCCAACAAAUGUUUUUUUAAUGUAAAGAAAAAUAUUUAUUCAUCAGAAUAAAGCUGCUGAAUUUAAACGUGUUUAAGUUUAACUUCGUGUAUCUACCUGUGACAUUCCUUAAAGUUCAUCCCAUAACUUGUCCCCGAGUCAUUGGUCUAGAGUCCGAAGAUGUGAAGUCUGAGUCGUCCGUCUCUGAGGGCGUCUUUGUCCCACUGGACUUGGCCUGUAAAGCGUUUAUCCUGCAACUCUGGGACCUCAACACCUUCAUAUACAUGAGUGAUGGUUUCUCAUCAGCUAACAUCUCACAGGAGAUAUAAAGGGAGUUGGGGGAGUGGUCCGUGCUGGUGGGGAACAUCCAUUCCAGUGAGAUGUUGUGGUUCUCCUCUGCCUGAUAGCAGCUCUGUGUCACAUUCACUACAAAUGACCCUGCUGGAGCCUUUAGACUCCGUCUCCAGAUGUUUCUGAGGAGUGUGCUGACGCUUCACAGCUGCUUUACAAACACAAAAGUGAACCGACCACAGACACGGGAGGUCAAGAUGAUCACCAGGAUGCUUCAGAUCAUCUCCUCCCUGUGAGAGGAGACCGAGGAGAAGAGGCUCAAACAUCUCAUCAUCAUCAUCACAACAACAAUCUACAGUGUGUCUCCACAUCGUGAUGCUCUUUGUGUUCAUCAUCAUGCUUGUUACAAACACACAAAGCUUUGAUGCUAAUGACAACCUCCCUGAAACAUGAGACAACCACUGUUACCUCUUACCGUUUAUGUGGUCUUCGAAACGCACCGCGAGAGUUAUGAAUCAAAAGCGUUCUACAAAUUGACGUGAGUUCUGUUUAGCUUUUCUGGAAUCUACUAGUCAUGAAUCAUAGAAUAAAAGCACUAAACCAUCUCAGAUUGUAACAUUCAACGACCACACAUAAAUCUCAAGUUCCCCAACUUUUGACCGAUCUUCGCUCCCAUACAUGAGGAAAUAUGGGGAAUACUUGGUGGUCAGUUGUUUCUUCGACCAAACACAGUGGACUUAAUAUAUUGGUCCCAGUCACUGGGGUGAUCCUGGACCAUUUUGUUUUUUUUUCAAAACUCUAAAAUAGAGGAAAACCAUUAUUAAAGACAAUAAAAAGUCAGUCUCAAAGUAGAUCAACAGUGGUUAUUGGAAUAUAUCUUCGAUAAAUAAUGUUAUACCCUUGAAUUGUGCCAUUGAGUUUUUCAACCAAGCCAUUGGUUUGCGGGUGGUAUGGAGCACAGAGGCUUCGGUCAAUGCCAAGUUUCUGGCACAACUCUGUAUUCAUCUAUAAAAUGCACAAGAGGACAACUUAUUUUGAAUACCAUGAUGCUUCUUCCAUUGGUAAUGGGACCACGAAUACGGACAUAUUACUUGCGUCAAAAUUAAACUUACUUUGUUCACGAAUUCCUUUCCACGGUCUGUGAGGAUACGCUUUUGGGCGCCAUAUUUAUAAAAGAAAUCCAUUACACACAUGGAGAUUUCUUCCGCUCCUUUAGUUUUCAGUGGGUAUACCUCAAGCCUCUUUGUGAAAUAGUCCACCAUCACAUAAAUGUAUUGACACCCAUUCUUGGUGCAUUUUAGCUUACCAACCAAGUCCAUCCCAAUUCAAAUGGUUGAGUCACCUUUUAAAAAGCAAACCAGAUUUUAACACAAGGAUGCUUCCAUUCAACAUGUUAUAUUUAGUAAGUAUUCACCUCUUUGGGUUUGUAUAGCAUUUUCUCCUUUAUAGAGGUCCUCUUCUUUUGGCAGGCAUCACUCUGGUCAAUCUAAAACCAUUUAGACAAUUGAAAAACACUGAUUUCAAAUGUUUACAUAUUAUCACAAGCUCCCCAGAGAUAAGGAGUGACACCCACCCAUUUCUCGAUGUCUGCCUUCAUGCUAGGCCAGUAGAAUCGUUGCAGAAUUGCAUCCAUGGUCUUGUCGACCCCACAGUGAGCUCCAAUGUCACUGUCAUGAAACUCAAUGAAUAUGGCAUUGGCUUCUUGUGGGGUCAACACACCCUUGGCAAGAUGAUGCCGCUGCUCAUCUCACUUUCUGCGGCACUGAUAAUACAGGUCACCGUCUAUGAAUUAGAUUGCAUAAACAUUUGAAGUGACUGAUUUAAAUAGCCAGUAUAUUAUUUAACUUAGUUUAACAUUUUCAUUUAGCUGAGGCUUUUAUCCAAAGCAACUUACAAUAAGUGCAUUCAACCCAGGGGGUACAGAAGAAGAAGAAUUACAGUACAAGUACAAUUCCUUUAAGAAAGCCAAACUACAAGUUUAACUUUAAGUAGUUGCUAUCGUAAGAUAGCACUUAGUACGUUACUUACUUAUCAGUUGGUAACUCUCUGCACGCCGUUUGAGAACAUAUCGCUCAUUCUUGCUGAAAUGUGCAGGAAAAGAGUUGCUCUGCUUGUAGUCCUUCAAUUCUUUCACCUUUUGUGGAUCCAUCUCUUGUUCGGAAAGACCUCAUGGCGUUUUUAUAGGGACGCUGCUUGUUAACUUUAAUUGGGUGACAGUUAAGAAUCGAUAAAUUUGGAUGUCUUCCAAGACACGCCCACAGUAACCAGUUGUUUCAGAUCCCCUACACCAGAAGGUUUCCUCCAUGCCAAUCACGUUGUAUUAAUAUAUUAAGACCAAACCCAGCGUACUGCCCUGUUACGCAGCGCACAGAGCAAGCGCCGGUACAAUGCGUUAGCCGUAAGAACACAAUAUCCUUUUUUUUUUUUUUUUUAUCCUAAUGUGUCGAUGCAAGGGUGCAGCCUCCAUGAUAAAGUAGCGUUGCACAUGUCCUGAAGUGUUCCAAGACAUGCCCAAGGUAACUAGUUGUUUCAGAUCCACGACACCAAAAGGUUUCCUCCAUGCUGAUCUACGUCAACAAGAUGGAUCAAUUAAACAAAGGGUCAACAAAUUUCUGUGCGUCUCCGUGGUGCACUGCUAAGAGCAGCCAUCAGGUUGAUGUUUUGACCCACCGGGUUUGAAUCCAGGUCGUUCUGAUCUUUCCUUUUAAUAUAUAUUUUUUAAUAUAAAUGUUUUCAU